Molecule: small nucleolar RNA, 138 nt
Organism: Ornithorhynchus anatinus (platypus)
Lineage: Eukaryota; Metazoa; Chordata; Mammalia; Monotremata; Ornithorhynchidae
Source: RefSeq, a predicted model, not a curated record
CACCUCUCAGGGGUGCACCUGGAGGGUUUCUAGGACUCUACCAGUCUUGGCUACGGGAGGAAGAGUCAAGCAGAGGCCUACCCGUUCCAUUCCCAGCUGGGGCAGUGGCUAGCGAGUGGAAGGCCAUCUGCUACAAGU